AGUGAACGCUGGCGGUAGGCCUAACACAUGCAAGUCGAACGGCAGCACAGUAAGGGCUGGCUCUUACGGGUGGCGAGUGGCGGACGGGUGAGGAAUACAUCGGAAUCUACUUUUUCGUGGGGGAUAACGUAGGGAAACUUACGCUAAUACCGCAUACGACCUACGGGUGAAAGCAGGGGAUCUUCGGACCUUGCGCGAUUGAAUGAGCCGAUGUCGGAUUAGCUAGUUGGCGGGGUAAAGGCCCACCAAGGCGACGAUCCGUAGCUGGUCUGAGAGGAUGAUCAGCCACACUGGAACUGAGACACGGUCCAGACUCCUACGGGAGGCAGCAGUGGGGAAUAUUGGACAAUGGGCGCAAGCCUGAUCCAGCCAUACCGCGUGGGUGAAGAAGGCCUUCGGGUUGUAAAGCCCUUUUGUUGGGAAAGAAAAGCAGCAGGUUAAUACCCCGCUGUUCUGACGGUACCCAAAGAAUAAGCACCGGCUAACUUCGUG
RNAcentral lists this ribosomal RNA (492 nucleotides) under uncultured bacterium. Its description in RNAcentral is "partial 16S ribosomal RNA". It matches the Rfam family "Bacterial small subunit ribosomal RNA", at positions 29 to 507 of the family's 1533-position model. The record is from RNAcentral.